This 556-nucleotide ribosomal RNA is filed under the name uncultured bacterium. RNAcentral's name for it is "bacterial SSU rRNA". It matches the Rfam family "Bacterial small subunit ribosomal RNA", at positions 918 to 1474 of the family's 1533-position model. The record is from RNAcentral.
GGCCCGCACAAGCGGUGGAGCAUGUGGUUUAAUUCGAUGCAACGCGAAGAACCUUACCUACUCUUGACAUCCAGAGAACUUAGCAGAGAUGCUUUGGUGCCUUCGGGAACUCUGAGACAGGUGCUGCAUGGCUGUCGUCAGCUCGUGUUGUGAAAUGUUGGGUUAAGUCCCGCAACGAGCGCAACCCUUAUCCUUUGUUGCCAGCGAUUCGGUCGGGAACUCAAAGGAGACUGCCGGUGAUAAACCGGAGGAAGGUGGGGAUGACGUCAAGUCAUCAUGGCCCUUACGAGUAGGGCUACACACGUGCUACAAUGGCGUAUACAAAGAGAAGCGACCUUGCGAGAGCAAGCGGAACUCAUAAAGUACGUCGUAGUCCGGAUUGGAGUCUGCAACUCGACUCCAUGAAGUCGGAAUCGCUAGUAAUCGUAGAUCAGAAUGCUACGGUGAAUACGUUCCCGGGCCUUGUACACACCGCCCGUCACACCUUGGGAGUGGGUUGCAAAAGAAGUAGGUAGCUUAACCUUCGGGAGGGCGCUUACCACUUUGUGAUUCAUGA